GACGAACGCUGGCGGCGUGCUUAACACAUGCAAGUCGAACGGAAAGGCCCUGCUUUUGUGGGGUGCUCGAGUGGCGAACGGGUGAGUAACACGUGAGUAACCUGCCCUUGACUUUGGGAUAACUUCAGGAAACUGGGGCUAAUACCGGAUAGGAGCUCCUGCUGCAUGGUGGGGGUUGGAAAGUUUCGGCGGUUGGGGAUGGACUCGCGGCUUAUCAGCUUGUCGGUGGGGUAGUGGCUUACCAAGGCUUUGACGGGUAGCCGGCCUGAGAGGGUGACCGGCCACAUUGGGACUGAGAUACGGCACAGACUCCUACGGGAGGCAGCAGUGGGGAAUAUUGCACAAUGGGCGGAAGCCUGAUGCAGCAAAGCCGCGUGCGGGAUGACGGCCUUCGGGUUGUAAACCGCUUCCGCCUGUGACGAAGCGUGAGUGACGGUAAUGGGUAAAGAAGCACCGGCUAACUACGUG
This 468-nucleotide ribosomal RNA is filed under the name uncultured bacterium. RNAcentral describes it as "partial 16S ribosomal RNA". It matches the Rfam family "Bacterial small subunit ribosomal RNA", at positions 28 to 507 of the family's 1533-position model. The record is from RNAcentral.